Molecule: ribosomal RNA, 423 nt
Filed under: uncultured bacterium
Lineage: Bacteria
Description: partial 16S ribosomal RNA
Rfam family: Bacterial small subunit ribosomal RNA
Source: RNAcentral
AAUAUUGGACAAUUGGCGAAAGCCUGAUCCCGCCAUGCCGCGUGUUUGAAGAAGCCCUUCGGGUUGUAAAGCUCUUUCGGACGGAAAGAAAUCGCGCUGGCUAAUACUCUGCGCGGAUGUCGUUACCGUCAUAAGAAUCACCGGCUACCUACGUUCCUGAAGCCGCGGUAAUACGUAAGGUGCGAGCGUUAAUCGGAAUUACUGGGCGUAAAGCGUGCGCAGGAGGUUGAUUAAGCCAGGCGUGAAAUCCCCGGGCUUAACCUGGGAACUGCGCUUGUGACUGGUCAGCUAGAGUACGGCAGAGGGGGGUGGAAUUCCACGUGUAGCAGUGAAAUGCGUAGAGAUGUGGAGGAACACCGAUGGCGAAGGCAGCCCCCUGGCCGAUACUGACGCUCAUGCACGAAAGCGUGGGUAGCAAACAGG